This is a long non-coding RNA of Cyanistes caeruleus (blue tit), 2288 nucleotides long. The record is from Ensembl. Lineage: Eukaryota; Metazoa; Chordata; Aves; Passeriformes; Paridae.
AUGGCAACUGGGAAAGGCAAGCACAGUCAGCUGCUCAAAGAGCUUCAUUUCUUUCCUUUCAGCUCAAUCCAGCCUUGCCAGGGCACUGCUGUGAGUUGUGGUGGUUUGAUGAGAGGGGGACAGGCUCGACAAGUCCUGCUCAGCAAACAUCUCCCUCAGACACAGCAUGUGCUCCCACCAUGGCACUACCUGGGGAGCAAAGUGGUGCUUUGUACGAGGAGACAGAAAAGCAGCAGGGCCAAAGUGGCUGGAGCUCUGUCUGUGUUCUCACCACGCGUGGUUAAGCCCAGGUUCAUGCUUGGUGAAACCUGUGCUGUCAAGAGAAGUUUGGAAAACAGCCUUAGGAUCCAGGACUGCAGAAAGCAGCUCACAGGCAGGACGGAGCUUCCACCCAGACCCUGGGGAUGGCCAGGCUCCCCUUUCCAGCUUGCCCAUCCUUCAACCUAACAUCUGAUUUGUCUGCUUUUCUCCCAUGGAAAACUUUAUUUUGUAGUUAAAAAUAAGCCUCAGGGGUUAAUUCUUUCUUGUUUUUGUGAUUCAUCUCUCAAAUGUGGGUGUAUUACCUUGUUUUCCCUGGAUCGGAUACUCCCUUCUUUUUUCCCCAAGCAGAGCUUUGCUGUCAUUUUAGUUCCCACUGCCACAGUUCUCACAGCAUGUUUGUUCAUCUAAAAGUAAAUGCUCUGCUAGGAGCAGAAAUCAUUUUUCAAGAAAACAAAAGAACAAAGAAAUUGAGUUUUACAGAAGUGAAGGUAAAUUAUAUUUACAAAAAGAGCCUCACAAAAAUCUGAUUACCAGCCCAGUGGUCUUGCAGCCCAAGACUUUUUUUUUGUUGCUGUUUUACUGGUUGUAAACAACUUUAUGGUCUUAAGGCUUUAACAAGCGCCUUCAAACAUCUCAGUGGCUUGUCAGCCUACUUUGGUGUUACAGAUUUCUUCAAAACUACUGAUUUUUCUGGUAGAAAGAAGCAGUGCAAGGUGCAAACCCAGCACAGCCAGAGGAGCAGGUGAGAAUAGAGCUUUCACAAGUUAAGGCUUAUGAACACCCAGGCUGUGAGAGAAGGGAAAAAAAGAAAAAAAAAGUUUUGGGAUGUUUUACAGUAUCUAAUGAGAUCUCCAUCUCUGCCUGAAGGUAAAUGGGUCACUGCUGGAUGAGGAAUUUGGCUGCAUUUUUGCACUGUCUGACAAUUGGGAAAGUGCUGUGUGCCACCCCCUCACCUUCCCAGACCUGCUCUUCUGUAAAAAAUAUAAAUGUAGGGGAGAGAAGGGGAGGUUUUCAAACCUUCUCCUUUCUUGGGCAAUCUCUGACAGUAAUCUCAAGCAUGAGCUCCCUUCUUUCCUGAGAAGUCCCAUGGAAAGCUGAACUCGUGCUUCAGAAGGAGGGGCAGCUGGAACCUCUUAGCAGCAGAUGAGCUGCUUUAUGUUUUGUAUUAAGUAAUGAAGGGGUAUAAACAAAUUACCGUUGUCUGGGGCUUUCGUGUGCAUUUCAGUCGGGGCUGGAUUCUUCCCAUAAGGUCAAGCACAGGCGGAAUACCCAGGCAGCAGCAGGAGCAGACAGUCGUCGCCAAAUCAGUGAGAGAGGGUGUGGAGCACUGAGGAGAUGGGAGCAGCAGGAAAAAGCACUGAGGAAACACUGAGGCUGGCUUGGACAUACGGGUUAACCAGCCAGAGGCUGAGUGUUUGUCCAGGGCUACAACCCUGGUGUGGGGCAGCUGCAAAAAUGUACUGAAGUACCGAGUGAUGAAUGGGGAAUGGUCAGAUUACAGGAAUAUUUAUUUAUAUUUAAUAUUUCUAUAUUUCUAUUUCUAUUUUUAUUUAAUAUUUCUAUUUUAUAUUUAUGUAACUGACAAUCCCUUGUAAAUAACUCCUGUUAUCCUCGAAUACUAAGCUACUUCAAGCCUAAUUGAAUAGACAUUUAAGAUGUUUAAUUUAGUGUUUUCCUCAUAUGACAACGGGAUAUUUUCACCCUCUUGUUCUCUGGGGGGAGGAAACUGAAUCAGCAUCUUCCCUUUCUCCAAAGUGGUUCCUCCCGUUUAUAAAGUGUCUGGAGGCCACGAGGAGUUUUCCCUGCAAAAAAUGAAAGAGCUGUUGCUACAACAAACAACUUUGUUCCCUUUUUGCCUGCUUAGGCCCUCGGAUACACUUUGAAUAUGAAAGCAUGUGGUGGUGAUGAUGAUGCAAGAGGUCACUAAUAAUGCUCAUACCCAUUAAUUACAAAAGCAUAAAUAACAUGUAAGUAAUACAUCCUUGAUCUGGCUGCUGAACUGCAAUAAAGAAAAAAUAACAAGAGCA